ACGGAAGGCAGCAGUGGGGAAUAUUGCACAAUGGGCGAAAGCCUGAUGCAGCAACGCCGCGUGAGGGACGACGGCCUUCGGGUUGUAAACCUCUUUUAGUAGGGAAGAAGCGAAAGUGACGGUACCUGCAGAAAAAGCACCGGCUAACUACGUGCCAGCAGCCGCGGUAAUACGUAGGGUGCAAGCGUUGUCCGGAAUUAUUGGGCGUAAAGAGCUCGUAGGCGGUUUGUCGCGUCUGCUGUGAAAACUGGAGGCUCAACCUCCAGCCUGCAGUGGGUACGGGCAGACUAGAGUGCGGUAGGGGAGAUUGGAAUUCCUGGUGUAGCGGUGGAAUGCGCAGAUAUCAGGAGGAACACCGAUGGCGAAGGCAGAUCUCUGGGCCGUAACUGACGCUGAGGAGCGAAAGCAUGGGGAGCGAACAGGAUUAGAUACCCUGGUA
Molecule: ribosomal RNA, 439 nt
Filed under: uncultured Agreia sp.
Lineage: Bacteria; Bacillati; Actinomycetota; Actinomycetes; Micrococcales; Microbacteriaceae
Description: bacterial SSU rRNA
Rfam family: Bacterial small subunit ribosomal RNA
Source: RNAcentral